GGUCGAUGAUGAUUGGUAAAAGGUCUGAUUGCACUGAAUGUCACAGUCCCUUCCUUGCCCUCACUCCCAGCAGCCCCUUUUUACCCCCAGCACAAUAAGUCAUGUGUGUGGGAUGGUGGAGCUGCUGAUAACCAGGGAUUUUGUCAGUGUGUGUUUCGGAGAGUGAAAGAUUCACGGCUGACGAGUAUCCAACAGAACGUGUUACUCAGGAGCUUGAUGAGUGGCAGGCAGGGUGUGACAGUGCAUGAUCUCAAGUUUUCAAUCUGAGACC
Sciurus vulgaris (Eurasian red squirrel) is the source of this 271-nucleotide non-coding RNA. The record is from Ensembl. NCBI's taxonomy places the organism in Eukaryota, Metazoa, Chordata, Mammalia, Rodentia, Sciuridae.